GUCCCUGUAGAGCAAUGGAUAGCGCGUUGGACUUCUUAUCCAAAGGUCGUGGGUUCGAAUCCCAUCUGGGAUG
RNAcentral lists this transfer RNA (73 nucleotides) under Trichonephila inaurata madagascariensis. It matches the Rfam family "tRNA". Rfam says of the family: Transfer RNA (tRNA) molecules are approximately 80 nucleotides in length. Their secondary structure includes four short double-helical elements and three loops (D, anti-codon, and T loops). Lineage: Eukaryota; Metazoa; Arthropoda; Arachnida; Araneae; Nephilidae. The record is from Rfam by way of RNAcentral.